This is a long non-coding RNA of Drosophila yakuba, 318 nucleotides long. RefSeq lists it as uncharacterized. NCBI's taxonomy places the organism in Eukaryota, Metazoa, Arthropoda, Insecta, Diptera, Drosophilidae. The transcript is spliced from 2 exons. The record is from RefSeq and is a predicted model, not a curated record.
UUUGAGUGUGUUGUGACCUCUGAACGUCCAGGGUGUCAAAGCAAAGUGACGAUGUUGGCGAUAAAAAAAGCGAGCGAAAAACAAAAGCGCAUGCUUUCACGUCUCCGCAUAUCGAGUGCAAAUGGAACAAUGUCAACAGUGGUGUGGCACUUCCCCCCCCCCCAAAAGGACCUCCCUGCGGAAGUCCUGGCACCACAAACCACACGGGAAUGGAUCCACAGCACAGUAAACCACAUGAAGUUUUUCGCGCAGCCCUUCUUUUAAAUCACAGGAACUGGCUUGAUUCAGAAACCUUAUAAAUUGUUCUUAAAACUGCAA